GUGGUUGUGGCUCAGUGGUAGAGCACUUGCCUAGCAUGCGUGAAGCACUGGGUUGGAUCCUCGGCACCACA
RNAcentral lists this transfer RNA (71 nucleotides) under Ictidomys tridecemlineatus (thirteen-lined ground squirrel). RNAcentral describes it as "Spermophilus tridecemlineatus (thirteen-lined ground squirrel) tRNA". It matches the Rfam family "tRNA". From Rfam's summary of the family: Transfer RNA (tRNA) molecules are approximately 80 nucleotides in length. The record is from Rfam by way of RNAcentral. Lineage: Eukaryota; Metazoa; Chordata; Mammalia; Rodentia; Sciuridae.